AAGAGCUACAUACUAUACCUCGCACAUAUAGCUGUAUACGGAAAUACCAUUAAUGUGGUUCUGAGUCUUCUAGCCUUCCCAACAGGUGGUGGGAGGAAGGGUCACCUGAAGGCUGACCGAUGGUUGGUGACACGGAAGAAGGGAGAGCCGUUGGUAGAGACAACUGUCCUGAAUGAUAGUCUGACCUUUUUCUCCACUACUUGUCUAUGCAUAGGUUG
This is a non-coding RNA of Pelobates cultripes (western spadefoot toad), 218 nucleotides long. Lineage: Eukaryota; Metazoa; Chordata; Amphibia; Anura; Pelobatidae. The record is from the annotation of a GenBank genome assembly.